UACGAAGGGGGCUAGCGUUGCUCAGAAUUACUGGGCGUAAAGGGAGCGUAGGCGGGUCAUCAAGUUGGAGGUGAAAGCCCAGGGCUCAACCUUGGAAUUGCCUUCAAAACUGAUAGCCUAGAGUAUGAUAGAGGUAAGUGGAACUCCGAGUGUAGAGGUGAAAUUCGUAGAUAUUCGGAAGAACACCAGUGGCGAAGGCGACUUACUGGAUCAUGACUGACGCUGAGGCUCGAAAGCGUGGGGAGCAAACAGG
This 253-nucleotide ribosomal RNA is filed under the name uncultured bacterium. RNAcentral describes it as "partial 16S ribosomal RNA". It matches the Rfam family "Bacterial small subunit ribosomal RNA", at positions 524 to 776 of the family's 1533-position model. The record is from RNAcentral.